GAUGAACGCUGGCGGCGUGCCUAAUACAUGCAAGUCGAGCGAACGGACGAGAAGCUUGCUUCUCUGAUGUUAGCGGCGGACAGGUGAGUAACACGUGGAUAACCUACCUAUAAGACUGGGAUAACUUCGGGAAACCGGAGCUAAUGCCGGAUAAUAUUUUGAACCGCAUGGUUCAAAAGUGAAAGACGGUCUUGCUGUCACUUAUAGAUGGAUCCGCGCUGCAUUAGCUAGUUGGUAAGGUAACGGCUUACCAAGGCAACGAUGCAUAGCCGACCUGAGAGAGUGAUCGGCCACACUAGAACGGAGACACGGUCCAGACUCCUACGGGAGGCAGCAGUAGGGAAUCGUCCGCAAUGGGCGAAAGCCUGACGGAGCAACGCCGCGUGAGUGAUGAAGGUCUUCGGAUCGUAAAACUCUGUUAUUAGGGAAGAACAUAUGUGUAAGUAACUGUGCACAUCUUGACGGUACCUAAUCAGAAAGCCACGGCUAACUACGUG
This 497-nucleotide ribosomal RNA is filed under the name uncultured bacterium. RNAcentral's name for it is "partial 16S ribosomal RNA". It matches the Rfam family "Bacterial small subunit ribosomal RNA", at positions 28 to 507 of the family's 1533-position model. The record is from RNAcentral.